UCGAGCGAGAAAGUUCCCUUCGGGGAGCGAGUACAGCGGCAAACGGGUGAGUACCACGUGGGUAACUUGCCUUCGGGCGGGGGACAAGCUCGGGAAACCGAGGCUAAUACCGCAUAACGUUAUGCUUUCGCAUGUUAGCAUAACCAAAGGGGGGGAUCUUCGGACCUCCCGCCUGAAGAGAGGCCCGCGCCUGAUUAGCUAGUUGGUAGGGUAAUGGCCUACCAAGGCGAUGAUCAGUAGCCGGUCUGAGAGGAUGGCUGGCCACACUGGGAUUGAGAUACGGCCCAGACUCCUACGGGAGGCAGCAGUCUAGAAGCUUCGGCAAUGGGCGAAAGCCUGACCGAGCGACGCCGCGUGCAGGACGACGGUCUUCGGAUUGUAAACUGCUUUCGACAGGGAUGAACGGUAGGGAAGUUAAUAACUUCUUUAUUUGACAGUACCUGGAGAAGAAGCCCCGGCUAACUCCGUGCCAGCAGACGCGGUAAUACGGAGGGGGCAAGCGUUGUUCGGAUUUAUUGGGCGUA
This 524-nucleotide ribosomal RNA is filed under the name uncultured organism. Its description in RNAcentral is "bacterial SSU rRNA". It matches the Rfam family "Bacterial small subunit ribosomal RNA", at positions 62 to 562 of the family's 1533-position model. The record is from RNAcentral.